RNAcentral lists this ribosomal RNA (435 nucleotides) under Triticum aestivum (bread wheat). RNAcentral's name for it is "partial small subunit ribosomal RNA". Lineage: Eukaryota; Viridiplantae; Streptophyta; Magnoliopsida; Poales; Poaceae. The record is from RNAcentral.
AUGAGGGCCUUAUUCUGGAAUAUUAGAGGGUCCGGUGCUAGGGGGCGCCGUGACCAACUGAAAGAUUUGGUUCGUUCUAACUCUAUUGACUUUGUGGGGCUGGUUGAAACUUUUAAGGAUUCCUUUACCCCCAGUGAGCUUUCUGCUAUCGUGGGUAUGGAUAGAUUUCAGUGGCAAUCUUUACCGGCUUCGGGCCACUCUGGUGGGAUUCUGAUCGGUUCUAAUAAGGAUAUUUUUGACUUUGUUGCUUUUGAUCAUGGGUUUUAUUGGGCUAGUGUUGUUCUCUCGCAUAGAUCUAUGAAUGCCCUCUGUGAAUUUAUAGUUGUUUAUGGGCCCGCGGAUCACUCCUUUUCGCACCUUUUCCUUGAUGAACUUUCGAUCAAGCUUGAGUCCUGUUCUCUCCCGACGGUGAUUGGGGGAGACUUUAAUCUUCUG